Molecule: ribosomal RNA, 253 nt
Filed under: uncultured prokaryote
Description: partial 16S ribosomal RNA
Rfam family: Bacterial small subunit ribosomal RNA
Source: RNAcentral
AACGUAGGAGGCGAACGUUAUCCGGAUUUACUGGGCGUAAAGCGCGUGUAGGCGGUUUGGUAAGUAGGGCGUGAAAGCUCCCGGCUCAACUGGGAGAGGUCGUUCUAAACUGCCGAGCUAGAGGAUGGUAGAGGGAGGUGGAAUUCCGGGUGUAGCGGUGGAAUGCGCAGAUAUCCGGAGGAACACCAGUGGCGAAGGCGGCCUCCUGGACCAUUCCUGACACUCAGACGCGAAAGCGAGGGGAGCAAACGGG